UUAUCAUUCCAGGGAUUUGCAGAAUGAAAAAUGAAAAGGUGACGAGAACGAAUAGUGACCAAUCUCAAAACUCCUAUUAGGGAUACAAAUUCAGAGUAGGGCAAACACGGACCCCUGGUCAUAUUAGAGGUGAGAACAUGUGCGAAGGAGGACUAAUCAUCCUCUGUUGACCAGUCGCACCAGCCAUCAUUUUGAUCGGGUAAACGAAUUAAUCCAUAAUAAAGUUCGGGUGUAAACAAUCACCAUUAAUGGUAUAAAACAUACCUGAAAGGAUUUCACAUAAUGGCAGUGGGUAAUGGUAAAUCACAUUACGGAUGUAUAUUUAAUUGCUGUGAUAAAAUUUAGAAAUUCAUUUCAAAAUUAAGGAUUGUCUCCCUCAUGCAUAACUCUUAUCCUUAGACGAAUUUGACUCCACUUUUUUGGCACUCUGUUUUCCCCUAAAUUAGCUCUAGCAAGUUUAUUGUUAUUUCGGAAUUCAAAUAUUUCAUUGAGCAUCACUGAAGAUACAUUAUUUGUCGAAAUGCGCAUCUGGUGCAUCAAAAUUGGUACCGUAUAAGAUUUACAUUGUUAUAACGACCACGAGUUUUGAAAAAUACAAACGUUAAACUAAAAUAUUUAGAGCACUGCACCAUCAACUUGUGUGUCAGUAGCCUGAGUCGUUUUGUAAAAACAUGAUCAAACGCAAGCUCUUGCGUAUCAAAUCAGUUGAGAGACAUAAACAGCAUGUGCAGGUGAUAAUGGAAUAUUGGUACAUCAGUGUGGGAAGUUAUCGAUGAGGAAGCUGAAAUCAUACCGUUUGUCAUGAAGUUGAAUUGUUCUUUUGCCGUUGAUAUCCAUUUUCAAUAAAAUGUCCAAGUAUGAAGCAGACGUGGAGGAAUAUGUUGUGUUUUUUGGCUCGAGUUCACCGGGAUGAAAAGUAACGAUAACAGACAGUUAUCAAACCCAUAACUCCCAUAAGGAUUACAAAAUACAAAGUUGGUCAACCACGGACCCCAGGACAUUACAAAGUUGGGAUCAGGUGCCUAGGAUAUAUAUGUGCAGUUUUGUGUCGCAAUUGAAUCAUCAAUAUAUUUUGAUAGCGGACAAAACGUUUGAGUGUUCACUACAUUUUAAUGACUAAGUCUUGAAUUCCAUGUUCAUUUCAUUUCAUUUUGAUCCAUUAUAUUCAGUGUUCACUAAAUUCUUAUAAAUAUUAUUUUCAGUGCUCACUACAUUUUGAUUACUAUUAUAUCUACCGUUCACUACUUUUUGAUUACUGACAAUUAUAUUCAAUUUUCACUAAUAAUGAGGACUGUCAGAAUUCGAGCCCCACUCUUGUUAUGACCGUGUUCAACCUAUGACGUAAAUAUAGGGACUGACUGCUCCUUCGUCAAACGAAGGCAAUCGCAGGCCUUUUGGAUAUCACCUCCAACACGGAUCUCGUGUCAAAGCAGGCUUUGGUAUGUUAAAGAACCAUCACUGCUACAAUUCUGAGCCCUUAGCAUAGGUCUAAAUUUGUGGUACUUCACCUACAGGUGGUAACAUCUCAUUGUGAGUGAAAAAUUCUCAAAGCAACGGAAACGACAAAAAAAAACCAACCUACAUCAUUAAUUUUUAUUACUAUUGUGUGUGUUCAGAUUAAACUAUUGACGUCAAACCAUAUUCUAAAUCUGACUAUAUAGAUAUUCGCUCAUAAAAGAAGUCAAAUCAGACUCUAAAUCUAAUUCUAUAGAUUUGUGUUCAGAUGACAGCAAUGAAGUCAUAUCAAACUUUUAAACAUGACUAUAUAAAAGAUAAUACCACUAGAAUUAAGUCAGACUCUAAAUGUGGUUAAACCCUCAAUGUUAACAUAUUCCCUUCUAUGUAUGUAUUUGAAAGCUACUGUUGAUAUUAACUUUGUUCUCUAUAUAUUUCCUACACUUCCUACACUUACUGUACGAGUUAAAACUCUCUGUAGAUUUGAUAAAUCAAUAACAUAAUAGGAAUACAAUGAUUUCAAUUCAAUCUUCGCCUUUUACAAAGUCUUUCCUGGGGAAAUAUGACAUUGGAAACAAAUUUAAGAGUCUCUUCUGACGGAAUAUUUCAAUAUUUUGCAUCUAAGAAAUCCUAAAUGUAAAACAUAUACGGUACCAAUUUUGAUGCACCAGAUGCGCAUUUCAAGUAAUAACGAAAAAAGUGGAAUCAAAUUUGUCUAAGGAUAAGAGCUAUACGUGAGGGAGAUAAUCCUUAAUUUUGAAAUAAAUUUCUAUAUUUUAUAACAACAAUUAAAUAUACAUCCGUAUUUUGAAGCUAAUAACGAAAUAUUUAAUUGUUCCUCUUCUUCUUUUCUUUCAUGUGGAUGGAAACAAACUUCUCAUGCAAGGACACCAAGUGUACAUGUGUUUUAAUGAUAUUAUGAUCACUUUUACUACCAUUCACAAACAUAUAGACACUUGAAUUUUGAAGAAUGAGGGAAAUUUAUAAACGUGGGAAACGUACUUAAGAUGAUAAAAAUGUUGAUCAAAUACAAUCGACGUAUGGUACUGAUAUGAAAUCACGUAUUUCUCAUAUCGCAAAAAAAAUAGUUUUCCAAACUCCGCUUCCAAUUGUUAAAUGGCUGGAUGGGAUGUCAUACACGUGUCGUGUUUUAUUUCUAUAUUAUCAAGAUGUAUCAUGGUUCAAACGGUUACCACUUCGUUAGAUGUUAGCAUUCAUACGAAGUGCAAGGUAUGGAAUACGACACUAAAGAAAUGCACAGGUAAGUAUAACAUCUUGUGAAAGUCAAACCAAGGCUGGAGGCCUGGAUUUUGUAUCAUCGUUAUAAUUAAGACAAUGUCAUAUAUCACUGGCAAUUAGUUUAACUCUAAAAUUGUAGACUGAUUUUAGGCCAUGAAUGAAAGUCAUAUUCAAAAUUAACCUUUUUUAUGUUUAGAAUGCGAUGUAGGGUUCCAAGGUGACAGCUGUCAGAUGGUCUGUCGUUAUCCUAACUACGUAAACCAAUGUCAAAUGUGGUGUAACUGCGAACAACGGAACUGCAGUUUUGUUACUGGAUGUGAUUGUAUGCUAUGACCAUUAUAUAUAAUCCAGAACUAAAUACAGGAGGGUUCAAACUGCUUCUCUUUCCAUAUAUCAAUCUAAUUACUUAAACUAUGACUUUCGAUAUAUUUCAGAUGGGUCACCAACGAUUUCACCAAGCAUUAUGGAAAUUUCAUUUCCCGUAUAUUUAUUGACUAAAACUCUUAAAGCAUGUCGCUCUGGAUACACCGGGUCUGACUGUGAAUCUGCUUGUCGGUAUCCAAGUUACGGGGUCGGCUGUCAGUUACAAUGUAAAUGCGACAAGAAUAUUUGUCAUUACGUAAAAGGGUGUGAAAGAAUCAUCAGCGAUGGAGAUUAUUACUUUCUUGAAAUAUACAAAAGUUAAUGAAAAGGUGAAAAUGAGAAAUACCAAAUUAUGAGUUGGAUAAAAACGGAUCAGUGGACAUACCGGAUGUGGGAUCAGGUGCCUAGAAGAAGUAAGCAUCCUCUGACAACCAGACACCCGCCUUCAGCCCAAUAGGAAAGAUGGAGGUUACGAACAGUGUUCAAUCUUAUAACUCCUAUAAGCAAUACAAAAUAGAAACUUUGGCAAACACGGACCCUUGGGUAUACUAGAGAUGAGAUCAGGUAUCUAGGAGGGGUAAGCGCCCCCUGUCGACCGGUCACACCAGCGUGAGCCCUAUAACUUGAUCAGGUGAACGGAGUAAUCCGUAGUCAAAAUCAGUGUACCAAGAACCAGAUAUCAUCGGUGGGGACAAUUACAUGUCCAAGACAUAAUAUCUGCUUCCAUUAUUUCUACAUUCACCAUAAUACAAACAAAACUACAAAAUAGAAUACAUUGAAACUAUGUGACAUGUUAAAAGUUGAAAUAUUUGUAUUGUACCAUUUUGUAUUUGAUGUUUUACUUAAUUUUCUUUUGUUUCUUUUUCUACACCCAUUUCUCAAUAUUUUCCUAUUGAUAUCUAAUUGACACGUAACUUACAUUAUAAUUUUCCGUUUCUAUUAUAUAAUUUCUCAUUUGCAUUCUAUAAUUGUCCAUUUCCAUACAAAAAUGUUUCAUUUGUAUUUUGUCCCAGGGAUUGUUUUGUAUAUUUUAAU
Molecule: RNA transcript, 4092 nt
Organism: Ostrea edulis (European flat oyster)
Lineage: Eukaryota; Metazoa; Mollusca; Bivalvia; Ostreida; Ostreidae
Gene name: multiple epidermal growth factor-like domains protein 10
Exons: 4
Source: RefSeq, a predicted model, not a curated record